ACUCCUACGGGAGGCAGCAGUAGGGAAUCUUCCACAAUGGGCGCAAGCCUGAUGGAGCAACACCGCGUGAGUGAAGAAGGGUUUCGGCUCGUAAAGCUCUGUUGUUAAAGAAGAACACGUAUGAGAGUAACUGUUCAUACGUUGACGGUAUUUAACCAGAAAGUCACGGCUAACUACGUGCCAGCAGCUGUGGUAAUACGUAGGUGGCAAGCGUUAUCCGGAUUUAUUGGGCGUAAAGAGAGUGCAGGCGGUUUUCUAAGUCUGAUGUGAAAGCCUUCGGCUUAACCGGAGAAGUGCAUCGGAAACUGGAUAACUUGAGUGCAGAAGAGGUAGUGGAACUCCAUGUGUAGCGGUGGAAUGCGUAGAUAUAUGGAAGAACACCAGUGGCGAAGGCGGCUACCUGGUCUGCAACUGACGCUGAGACUCGAAAGCAUGGGUAGCGAACAGGAUUAGAUACCCCUGGUAGGAUAGCG
Molecule: ribosomal RNA, 473 nt
Filed under: uncultured bacterium
Lineage: Bacteria
Description: bacterial SSU rRNA
Rfam family: Bacterial small subunit ribosomal RNA
Source: RNAcentral